RNAcentral lists this ribosomal RNA (656 nucleotides) under uncultured bacterium. RNAcentral's name for it is "bacterial SSU rRNA". It matches the Rfam family "Bacterial small subunit ribosomal RNA", at positions 836 to 1501 of the family's 1533-position model. The record is from RNAcentral.
CCCUUCAGUGCCGCAGUUAACACAAUAAGUAAUCCACUGGGAGUACGACCGCAAGGUUGAAACUCAAAGGAAUUGACGGGGGCCCGCACAAGCAGUGGAGUAUGUGGUUUAAUUCGACGCAACGCGAAGAACCUUACCAAGUCUUGACAUCCUGCGACGAGUACAGAAAUGUGCUUUUCCUUCGGGACAGAGAGACAGGUGGUGCAUGGUUGUCGUCAGCUCGUGUCGUGAGAUGUUGGGUUAAGUCCCGCAACGAGCGCAACCCUUAUGGAUAGUUACUACGCAAGAGGACUCUAUUCAGACUGCCGUUGACAAAACGGAGGAAGGUGGGGAUGACGUCAAAUCAUCAUGCCCUUUAUGACUUGGGCUACACACGUACUACAAUGGCGUUCAACAAAGAGAAGCGAAGCCGCGAGGCAGAGCAAAACUCAAAAACAACGUCCCAGUUCAGAUUGCAGGCUGCAACUCGCCUGCAUGAAGUCGGAAUUGCUAGUAAUCGCAGAUCAGCAUGCUGCGGUGAAUACGUUCCCGGGCCUUGUACACACCGCCCGUCACACCAUGAGAGCCGGGGGGACCCGAAGUCGGCAGUCUAACCGCAAGGAGGACGCCGCCGAAGGUAAAACUGGUGAUUGGGGUGAAGUCGUAACAAGGUAGCC